Molecule: small RNA, 106 nt
Filed under: Cervus elaphus hippelaphus
Lineage: Eukaryota; Metazoa; Chordata; Mammalia; Artiodactyla; Cervidae
Source: RNAcentral
GUCCACACAAAAUUUGGCAUCUUUAUGGUGACCUCCAAGGAGUGGGGGAACACCAGAUUGUCUAGGGGGAGGUGAAGUGGCCCAGGUCAGAAAUGGAACAAGUCAA